CGGACGGGUGAGUAACGCGUGGAAAACCUGCCGUAUACUGGGGGAUAACACUUAGAAAUAGGUGCUAAUACCGCAUAAGCGCACAGCUUCGCAUGAAGCGGUGUGAAAAACUCUGGUGGUAUACGAUGGUUCCGCGUCUGAUUAGCUAGUUGGUGGGGUAAUGGCCUACCAAGGCAACGAUCAGUAGCCGGCCUGAGAGGGCGGACGGCCACAUUGGGACUGAGACACGGCCCAGACUCCUACGGAAGGCAGCAG
This 255-nucleotide ribosomal RNA is filed under the name uncultured bacterium. Its description in RNAcentral is "partial 16S ribosomal RNA". It matches the Rfam family "Bacterial small subunit ribosomal RNA", at positions 99 to 354 of the family's 1533-position model. The record is from RNAcentral.